This 70-nucleotide transfer RNA is filed under the name Xylaria longipes. RNAcentral describes it as "tRNA-Gly". It matches the Rfam family "tRNA". Rfam says of the family: Transfer RNA (tRNA) molecules are approximately 80 nucleotides in length. Their secondary structure includes four short double-helical elements and three loops (D, anti-codon, and T loops). Lineage: Eukaryota; Fungi; Ascomycota; Sordariomycetes; Xylariales; Xylariaceae. The record is from RNAcentral.
GCAUCAGUGGUUUAGUGGUAAAUCCAUCGUUGCCAUCGAUGGGCCCCGUGUUCGAUUCACGGCUGAUGCA